UUGAACAAUAUAUAUUUUCCAUCACACAAGAAAAAGGGGGACAUUCUCACGCACAGUGUUUUUUUUCCUUUUUUUCCAUUUUUUGAGCUCUUUCUUCUUCACGAAGGCACAACAAAAACUCCAUACAUGCACAGACCACACGGGAUUCUUCCAUUAAACACACAAAAUACACUGAUUCACACAAAAAACACAAAGACCCACCAUGAACGGAGAGAAAACCCUAUAGAGAGAGAGAUUUGAGCAUGAGAGAGGAGAGAAAACGCGCGCUAGAGAGGGAGUGAAACGUGGGAGCUGAAAAAGAAGAGAAAAAUCAGAGAGGAACAGUUAUUCCGGCGAAUUCUCACCGGAAUCGCCAAUCGGAGAACACCGCUAGUCAUCGUUGUUGUUGUUCCGGCCGAUUCUGGAUGGAGAACAUCAUCAACCAUCUGAAAUUCAUCGAGAUUUGGUCUGUUUCCGUCCAAUUUCAUUGAAAAUUUCAACAAUCUGUCAAAACCCUCUUUUCUUGUCACUAUUUCAAGCCUAUCAGAGUUUUCCACUCCGAUCGAAUCAUCGUCUAAAAUCGAUAAAAAAAUAAAAAGACUGUGUUGUUACCUUGUCGUCUUCAAACAGUUGAGGAGGCCGAGACUUAACGAGUUGACCGUGAAGGUGGAUGGAUUUGUUGAGGUUCCGUGGCUUUGUGAGUUCCGAUCCAUCUUGGUUGUUCGAAAUAAAAUCGUCAAAUUGAGAGGAAUUGUAUUUAUUCACCGGGGAAUGUCCCGACGUAUCAUGUACUCGAAGGAUGCCCAUGAUGAAGGCCCAAAGCAUUGGGUAAGGCAUUGGAGCGUAGUUUGGUGUAAGUUAGCGUAGUUUACUUUUCAGUACCUUUUUCAUUUUGGGUUGUAAUAAUUGGAUUGUAUACUAUAUUUUGGAAUUCGUUUG
This is a long non-coding RNA of Capsicum annuum, 918 nucleotides long. RefSeq lists it as uncharacterized. Lineage: Eukaryota; Viridiplantae; Streptophyta; Magnoliopsida; Solanales; Solanaceae. The record is from RefSeq and is a predicted model, not a curated record. The transcript is spliced from 2 exons.